RNAcentral lists this ribosomal RNA (1449 nucleotides) under uncultured organism. Its description in RNAcentral is "16S ribosomal RNA". It matches the Rfam family "Bacterial small subunit ribosomal RNA". The record is from RNAcentral.
CAGGCUUAACACAUGCAAGUCGAGGGGCAGCAUGGUCUUAGCUUGCUAAGGCCGAUGGCGACCGGCGCACGGGUGAGUAACACGUAUCCAACCUGCCGUCUACUCUUGGACAGCCUUCUGAAAGGAAGAUUAAUACAAGAUGGCAUCAUGAGUCCACAUGUUCACAUGAUUAAAGGUAUUCCGGUAGACGAUGGGGAUGCGUUCCAUUAGAUAGUAGGCGGGGUAACGGCCCACCUAGUCUUCGAUGGAUAGGGGUUCUGAGAGGAAGGUCCCCCACAUUGGAACUGAGACACGGUCCAAACUCCUACGGGAGGCAGCAGUGAGGAAUAUUGGUCAAUGGGCGAGAGCCUGAACCAGCCAAGUAGCGUGAAGGAUGACUGCCCUAUGGGUUGUAAACUUCUUUUAUAAAGGAAUAAAGUCGGGUAUGCAUACCCGUUUGCAUGUACUUUAUGAAUAAGGAUCGGCUAACUCCGUGCCAGCAGCCGCGGUAAUACGGAGGAUCCGAGCGUUAUCCGGAUUUAUUGGGUUUAAAGGGAGCGUAGAUGGAUGUUUAAGUCAGUUGUGAAAGUUUGCGGCUCAACCGUAAAAUUGCAGUUGAUACUGGAUAUCUUGAGUGCAGUUGAGGCAGGCGGAAUUCGUGGUGUAGCGGUGAAAUGCUUAGAUAUCACGAAGAACUCCGAUUGCGAAGGCAGCCUGCUAAGCUGCAACUGACAUUGAGGCUCGAAAGUGUGGGUAUCAAACAGGAUUAGAUACCCUGGUAAUCCACACGGUAAACGAUGAAUACUCGCUGUUUGCGAUAUACUGCAAGCGGCCAAGCGAAAGCGUUAAGUAUUCCACCUGGGGAGUACGCCGGCAACGGUGAAACUCAAAGGAAUUGACGGGGGCCCGCACAAGCGGAGGAACAUGUGGUUUAAUUCGAUGAUACGCGAGGAACCUUACCCGGGCUUAAAUUGCAGAUGAAUUACGGUGAAAGCCGUAAGCCGCAAGGCAUCUGUGAAGGUGCUGCAUGGUUGUCGUCAGCUCGUGCCGUGAGGUGUCGACUUAAGUGCCAUAACGAGCGCAACCCUUGUUGUCAGUUACUAACAGGUUCUGCUGAGGACUCUGACAAGACUGCCAUCGUAAGAUGUGAGGAAGGUGGGGAUGACGUCAAAUCAGCACGGCCCUUACGUCCGGGGCUACACACGUGUUACAAUGGGGGGUACAGAGGGCCGCUACCACGCGAGUGGAUGCCAAUCCCAAAAACCUCUCUCAGUUCGGACUGGAGUCCGCAACCCGACUCCACGAAGCUGGAUUCGCUAGUAAUCGCGCAUCAGCCACGGCGCGGUGAAUACGUUCCCGGGCCUUGUACACACCGCCCGUCAAGCCAUGGGAGCCGGGGGUACCUGAAGUGCGUAACCGCGAGGAGCGCCCUAGGGUAAAACUGGUGACUGGGGCUAAGUCAUAACAAGG